RNAcentral lists this ribosomal RNA (253 nucleotides) under uncultured bacterium. Its description in RNAcentral is "partial 16S ribosomal RNA". It matches the Rfam family "Bacterial small subunit ribosomal RNA", at positions 524 to 776 of the family's 1533-position model. The record is from RNAcentral.
UACGAAGGGGGCAAGCGUUGUUCGGAAUUACUGGGCGUAAAGGGCUCGUAGGUGGCCAACUAAGUCAGACGUGAAAUCCCUCAGCUUAACUGGGGAACUGCGUCUGAUACUGGAUGGCUUGAGUUUGGGAGAGGGAUGCGGAAUUCCAGGUGUAGCGGUGAAAUGCGUAGAUAUCUGGAGGAACACCGGUGGCGAAGGCGGCAUCCUGGACCAACACUGACACUGAGGAGCGAAAGCCAGGGGAGCAAACGGG